CCGGAACAGUCAUGACCACGUACAUAUUGGGGACAAGCUCUUGACGACUCCACCGUUUGACGAUGAUCUAGCUAUUGGGCGUUCAGGACCUGAGUGUACUGCAGGAAAAGACCAUGGAGAUGGACAAGGAAAAGGUAGCUGAUAUGCUACAAUUACUUCUACUACGAAUUUUGAACUGCGGAGAAUUUUUUUUCCUGUUAUCUCAUGUCAUAGCUAUGUGUUUGAAUUGCAGAUGUAUCAUACAGUUUAUCAAGGAAGGUCUAGGAACAUGCUGUGAGUUGAGAUCAGCAUGGCCUGCAACCACAACAAGACAAGACCCCUACCAUGCAUAUAUAUUUUCCUUUCAAGUAGCAACAACUUGACUAUGUUGUCUAUGACAUAACAAGGACGAGAUAUGACAACCUUCUGCAUGUGUCAACAGUAAGCUCUCUUAUGUUUUGUUGUAAAAAUUAGUUAACCUCCAAAAUUAUUAUGUUUUAUUUAAUUUCUCACAUCAAGUGUGCUUGAGUGAAAUCAGAUGGUGGCUCUUUGGAAGGAACGGUCAAGAGUAAACGGAAGAAACUUCUGUUUUCUCAUACUUUAUUUCAUUUCUUUUUCUCAGAUUCUACUCCAAAAUAGUUUUUGGUUUGGAGCAUUUUCACUGGUUCUUUCCAAGUUUCGUUCUUCUCUUCAUUGUCUAUCGCUUCUCUAUCAGAAUAUUAUACUUAGUAUACUCUUGGUUUCCUAAGUUAUAUGAUUUAUUUGUUGCUAGGAUUAUUCUGACAUGUGUAAGCCUUGAUUUUGACGAACAAG
This 792-nucleotide long non-coding RNA is filed under the name Hordeum vulgare. RNAcentral describes it as "long non-coding RNA (HVUL_LNC001054)". Lineage: Eukaryota; Viridiplantae; Streptophyta; Magnoliopsida; Poales; Poaceae. The record is from RNAcentral.